GGCUAGGUAGCUCAGUGGUAGAGCAGGAGAAUCAUAAUCUUCGGGCCGUGGGUUCGAGUCCCUCCUUAGCCA
Molecule: transfer RNA, 72 nt
Filed under: Ehrlichia sp. JZT12
Lineage: Bacteria; Pseudomonadati; Pseudomonadota; Alphaproteobacteria; Rickettsiales; Anaplasmataceae
Description: tRNA-Met
Rfam family: tRNA
About the family: Transfer RNA (tRNA) molecules are approximately 80 nucleotides in length. Their secondary structure includes four short double-helical elements and three loops (D, anti-codon, and T loops). Further hydrogen bonds mediate the characteristic L-shaped molecular structure. tRNAs have two regions of fundamental functional importance: the anti-codon, which is responsible for specific mRNA codon recognition, and the 3' end, to which the tRNAs corresponding amino acid is attached (by aminoacyl-tRNA synthetases). tRNAs cope with the degeneracy of the genetic code in two manners: having more than one tRNA (with a specific anti-codon) for a particular amino acid; and 'wobble' base-pairing, i.e. permitting non-standard base-pairing at the 3rd anti-codon position.
Source: RNAcentral